RNAcentral lists this ribosomal RNA (433 nucleotides) under uncultured bacterium. RNAcentral describes it as "partial 16S ribosomal RNA". It matches the Rfam family "Bacterial small subunit ribosomal RNA", at positions 29 to 507 of the family's 1533-position model. The record is from RNAcentral.
AACGAACGCUGGCGGCAUGCCUAACACAUGCAAGUCGAACGAGACCUUCGGGUCUAGUGGCGCACGGGUGCGUAACGCGUGGGAACCUGCCCUUAGGUUCGGAAUAACUCCCCGAAAGGGGUGCUAAUACCGGAUAAUGUCUUCGGACCAAAGAUUUCUCGCCUUUGUGUGGGCGCGCGUUGGAUUAGCUAGUUGGUAGGGUAAAAGCCUACCAAGGCGACGAUCCAUAGCUGGUCUGAGAGGAUGAUCAGCGACACUGGGACUGAGACACGGCCCAGACUCCUACGGGAGGCAGCAGUGGGGAAUAGUGGAACAUGGGCGAAAGCCUGAUCCAGCAAUGCCGCGUGAGCGAUGAAGGCAUUAGGGUUGUAAAGCUCUUUUACCCGGGAUGAUAAUGACAGUACCGGGAGAAUAAGCUCCGGCUAACUCCGUG